CCAGGCCAAAGGAGCCCCCAUAGCCCCGGGAGCCCCCAUAGCCCCCAAGGGAGCCCCCAUAGCCUGAGAAACCCCCAUAGCCCUGGGAGCCCCCAUAGCCCCCAUAACUUCCUAACCCAAAGGAACCCCUAUAACCACGGGAGCCCCCGUAUCCAAGGAAGCUCCCAUAGCUUUGGGAACCUCCAUAAGGUCCCCACCCAAAGAAGCCCAAAUUGCCCCGGGAGCCCCCAUAACCUCCAGACCCAAAGGAGCCCCCAUAGCCGAGGGAGCUCCCAUAACCUCCAGAACCAAAGGAGCCCCCAUAGCCAAGGGAGCCCCCAUAACCUCCAGAACCAAAGGAGCCCUCAUAGCCCUGGGAGCUGCGGGAACUGAAGGAACGUCCCGGCAAGGCUGGGCCCGACGAUCCCACAACGCUCUCCUGAGGGCAGGUGCUGAGCACGGGGCCUGGGAUGGUCACCACCACUGGUGGGGGCAGGAUCAGGGCUCUGGAGUCGGGGCACUGCUGCACACACGGCUCGUUGGAGCUCUCGGCGAUGGGCUGGGGGCAGCUGAUGCCGCAGGACUCGUUGGAGUAGGACAUCCUUCUGUGCUGGGGAGUGGCAGUGCAAAGCCAGCAGAAUUAAAUCCCUCCAUGUGAGGGUUGUUCUGUGUGGGACUGAAGGCACGGAGGGCGUUUUGUCCUUGUAAGCACUUUGGGAAAUGUAUAAAAGCUGCCACCACUCCAAGCCUCUCCAUCCACUUCUCCUGAGUUAUUCGCCUUGGUGAACAGGGUAAGUCGGAUUUGAGCUCCUCUAUCCUUCUCUAUCCUUCCUUUUCCUCAUCCAAUUCUUUGAUGUUAUGGAUUGGUAGAUUUAAAAAUUGUGGGUCUGAGAAGGCUGUCGUAGAAUAAAAUGUGAAUUUUCACCA
This 906-nucleotide long non-coding RNA is filed under the name Junco hyemalis (dark-eyed junco). RNAcentral's name for it is "lncRNA (ENSJHYG00000006760.1)". The record is from RNAcentral. Lineage: Eukaryota; Metazoa; Chordata; Aves; Passeriformes; Passerellidae.